Apus apus (common swift) is the source of this 11573-nucleotide RNA transcript. It is a transcript of the gene named high affinity cAMP-specific and IBMX-insensitive 3',5'-cyclic phosphodiesterase 8A-like, with no coding region annotated. Lineage: Eukaryota; Metazoa; Chordata; Aves; Apodiformes; Apodidae. The transcript has 28 exons. The record is from RefSeq and is a predicted model, not a curated record.
GCGGCCGCCGAGGAACAUCAGUAAUAACAAGGCGGGCGCAGAGCGAGGGAAGGCGGCUGCGAGGAGAGAGGCAUUUCCCCUGCUGCAAGGGACGCGGACACCACGGCCCUGGGAAUUAGAGCUCUCGCCGCUGCAAUCCUUUCCGCCGGGAUGGGACGCUAGGACCAUUUUACUGCUACUUCUCGCUCUUUUAAAUUUUUCCUCACCCCCCUUUUUUUUUUUUUAUUUUUAAAUUUUUUUUUUUCCCCCUCGCCUUUUUGCAUCAUUUCUUUGGCCAAAAAAAAAAAAAAAAUCCCCCCCAACAUGGAGGCCCUUUGAUGCCGGUUCCUCCCGCGGCUCUGGGAAGCCCUCCGGGCUGUGCCCCCGUUUUCCGAGGGCCGCCCCCGGCGCUGAGGGAGGCUCCCCGCGGCCCGGCCCGCUCGGGUCCCGCGGCGCUGAGCCGGGAGCCUGCGCCCCGCCGGGCGGGAUGCGGUUGCGGGGGGCCGCUGCCGGGAGCCCCGCUGCCGCCUGACGGGGGGCUCUUCCUUCCGACGACGGGAACCUGCAUGUCAGCCCCGCGGCGGCCGCCCGCGACCGAGGCGGCGCGGGACAUGCCCAGGGCGGCGUGAGGGGCGCAGCCGGCUCCUCGGAGCAACCUUCGAUUAUAUAGAUUUUUAAAUUAUUUAUUUCGGCCCCAAAGCACACCCUAGGCACACCCCCGGCGCGGCGCCGAACGGGACCGCGAGGAGUAGGCGCUGCUUGGCGGGAGCGCGGAAGAGGAGGUGGGGAGCGGCCCCCCCGGCCCGUACCCGGGUUAAUCGGUAACGCUGUGCAAACCCCGGUGGAAAAUGCGCCGUGCUCCAGACUAGGAGGGAGGCGAUGGUGCAGUGCCCCCGGCCGCUCUGAGCGACCGGCCGAGAAGACGCUGGGGUGUGUGUGCGUGUCUGGGGCUUGGGGGCUUCCUAUUAUUUUUGCUUCCCUCCUCCCUCCCCCUCCUUUUUUUUUUUUUCCUUUUUUAUUAUUUUUAUUUUUAUUGCUUCUCCCCAGAAGGAAGGAAAACCCUACCAAGAUUCUCAGAUGGCUUAGAAAAAUUAAUAAUAAUCUGUGAAAAUAUGAAGUCGACCGGUUCUUGAUUUUCCCCCCUUCCCUCCCCUCCAGCUCCCCAGCCCACUGCUGAGAUUGAGAUAAAAGGACCCAUCUCCUGGAGGACGAGGAGAACAGACACGUUUCUGGUGGUGUAGAAGGGACUGAUGGCAAUGCUUCAGAGUGUAGCGGAAACGCAGGAAAGAGAUUCAACCUGUUAACAAAUUAAGCAGGGGGAAACUACCAACGGGAAGGAAAGAUAUAUAUAUAUAUAUACACACGUAUAUAUAUACAAUUUAGAAGUAUUCCCCAGGUGGCCACAAAGCAUGGGCUGUGCUCCAAGCAUCCACAUCUCUGACAGCAGAGUGGUCUAUCACAGUAGCAAAGAGUCUGAGGAGUGCAAUUCCCCUCACCAGACCAACACAACCAUGUCUCAACAGCAGCAAGGCAACCCCGUCCCAGGAUUAUUCAUUAAAUCCUCCAACACUUAUAAGGUGAGGACUAAUUCCUCUAAGAAAGACAAGAGGGAGAACAGCCAGAGCAUGGAGGCAGAGACCCAGACCAGCAGAUCCAGUGUUAAGGCACCAGUAACAGAUGUGCAGUUUGGCCCUAUGAGACUUCACCAAGAUCAACUUCAGGUACUUUUAGUUUUUGCCAAAGAAGAUAACCAGAGUAAUGGGUUCUGUUGGGCGUGUGAGAAAGCUGGAUUUCGAUGUAAUAUUGCCAGGACACCUGAGUCUGCACUAGAAUGUUUUCUUGAUAAACACCAUGACAUUAUCAUUAUUGACCAUAGACAUUCCAGAUACUUUGAUGCAGAAGCAUUAUGCAGGUCUAUCAGAACAACGAAACCCUCAGAAAAUACAGUCAUUAUUGGUGUAGUACGAAGGCAUGCUGACCGUGAAGAGUCAUCAAUAUUGCCCCUGAUCUCUGCUGGCUUCACAAGGAGAUAUGUAGAAAAUUCUAACAUAAUGGCCUGUUACAAUGAGUUGAUUCAGCUGGAAUUCGGAGAGGUGCGGGCACAAUUCAAACUAAGGGCAUGUAAUUCAUUAUUUACAGCAUUAGAGAAAAGUCAAGAAGCCAUUGAAAUCACAAGUGAAGACCAUGUAAUACAGUAUGUCAAUCCUGCUUUUGAAACUGUGAUGGGCUACCAAAUAGGUGAACUAAUAGGAAAGGAAUUAACAGAAGUGCCUAUAAAUGAAAAAAAAGCUGAUUUCCUAGAUACUAUUAAUUCCUGCAUAAAGAUAGGAAAGGAAUGGCAAGGCAUGUACUAUGCGAAAAAGAAAAAUGGAGACAGCAUACAACAAAAUGUGAAGAUACUACCUGUCGUUGGACAGGGAGGAAAGAUUAGACACUAUGUGUCAAUUAGUAGACUGUGCAAUGACAACAAUAAGGCAGAGAAGACAUGUGAACGUGUUCAGGCUGAAUCUCAGACAGAUAUUCAGACUUGCAGACACAAAGACAGACGGAAAGGAUCACUAGAUGUCAGAUCCACAACAUCACGAGGGAGUGAUGGCAGCUCACAACGGCGACACUCAUCUAUGGCCAGGAUACAUUCCAUGACUAUUGAAGCACCCAUCACCAAGGUAAUAAACAUCAUAAAUGCUGCCCAAGAAAGCAGUCCCAUGCCAGUUGCAGAAGCUUUAGACCGGGUUUUGGAGAUUUUAAGAACAACUGAAUUGUACUCUCCACAACUGGGGACAAAAGAUGAGGAUCCACAUACAAGUGACCUCGUUGGAGGGUUAAUGACAGAUGGUUUACGAAGAUUGUCAGGGAAUGAAUACAUCUUGUCAGCAAAACAAACUCAUCAGGUUUCUGGCAGUUUGAUCUCUCCAAUCUCCCUCAAUGACAUACCCCCACGGAUAACACAGGCAAUGGAAAAUGAAGAACACUGGGAUUUCGAUAUCUUUGAACUUGAGGCUGCCACCCAUAAAAGGCCUUUGGUUUAUCUGGGUCUCAAAAUAUUUGCUCGCUUUGGAAUCUGUGAAUUCCUAAACUGUUCAGAAUUGACUCUGAGGUCAUGGUUACAAGUCAUUGAAGCUAACUACCAUUCCUCCAACUCCUACCAUAAUUCUACUCAUUCAGCAGAUGUACUACAUGCCACUGCUUAUUUCUUGUGUAAAGAAAGAGUAAAGCAAACUUUGGAUCCGAUUGAUGAGGUUGCUGCACUCAUUGCUGCCACAGUCCAUGACGUGGAUCACCCAGGAAGAACAAAUUCAUUCCUGUGCAAUGCUGGCAGUGAGCUAGCAAUUCUCUACAAUGACACAGCAGUGCUGGAGAGCCAUCAUGCUGCCUUGGCUUUCCAGCUCACCACCCGGGAUGACAAAUGCAAUAUAUUUAAAAACAUGGAGAGGAAUGAGUAUCGAACCCUUCGCCAAGCCAUUAUUGACAUGGUCUUAGCAACAGAAAUGACAAAGCACUUUGAGCAUGUCAACAAGUUUGUCAACAGCAUUAAUAAACCCUUGGCAGCACUAGAAGAAAAUGGGAAUAAUGGUGAUGGAGAUUCAAUCAAAACUGUUCUCACAUCUCCUGAAAAUCGUAUCCUUAUCAAGCGCAUGUUGAUAAAGUGUGCUGACAUUUCCAAUCCAUGCAGACCCAUAGAGCAGUGCAUAGAGUGGGCUGGACGCAUCUCUGAGGAGUACUUUGCACAGACUGAUGAAGAAAAGAGACAAGGUUUACCUGUUGUGAUGCCAGUUUUUGACAGAAAUACUUGCAGCAUCCCCAAAUCCCAAAUAUCAUUCAUCGAUUACUUCAUCACUGAUAUGUUUGAUGCCUGGGAUGCAUUUGCAGACCUGCCAAAUUUGAUGCAGCAUCUGGAUAACAACUUUAAAUACUGGAAAGGACUAGAUGAAAGAAAGCUGCGGAGCCUUCGACCACCACCAGAAUAGCAAUUAGAGCAUGUCUCUUCACAGCUACAAGUCACUUAUUUGACUGAAGGACUAGCAGAGUAUCCCAUCAGCCUUCCUGGCAGGCAGAAACGGACUCCAAAAGCACUGAAAGAAUUGCUGACUGUUGUCAGUGCAGAGGAAAUUGGCUUUAGAGACUUUUUGAACAAUUCCUGAAGAAGCACAAAUAGAGAAGUUCAGGGACUGCAGCAGUAGGAGCCUUAAAACAGGUAAGAAAGGAACAGGUGACCUGUUGUUACCUGUUUCUGUGUUCCUCCUUCAUCUCCAAGCUGAUGAGACUCCUGGGCCACCACCACUUGUAGCUCACUACUGUUCUGCGUUUGUGUCAUGCCUUUUGCCAGUGCUGUCCUUAUCUUGCUUGUGUGCUUUCUCUUCCUACAUAGUAUGUGGGUUAUAUGCUGUCAGGGCAGGGAGUUCCUGUCCCAGUUCCCUUUAGUUGAUCAAUGAGUGUACAUUGCCUAACCCCAUGGGGCUCAGAUCCUGCCCAGGAGUGCCCAGACCAUACCACUGUCUCAGUGACAAUGGCAGGACAGAGGGCAUGGGGUCCUUGUUGAUCUUCCAGGCGUUCUACAGUUGAAGCUGAAGGAGCAGAUAUAUUUUCCAUUGAAAGCUGAAGAAGUCAAGUAUCCUAUUUUCAAAAGGAAUGUACAAGGAGAGGGAGAAUGGGCUGCCAGGCAUGUUUUCCUGGCAACGUUAGGCUGUGUUUCUGCAUCCAUGCACUGAUUGUAAUCAGCUGUUAAUUUGCCACCUGGCAUUAAUCUCUUCUAUUGCAUGCAGGCUCCUGUGCCUAGUUCAAGGAAAACCUGCUCUGGCUCCAUCAGAGGGAAGCUGCAUCACACCAUCAGUAUCUCCUCCGUUUACCUGCUGCAAAAAGGGUAGGAGAGGAAAAGUACCAGCAUAUGGGUCCAAAGAACGUCUGCAGGAAGGGGAUAAAACUAUUUUAGUAAUAGUAACUAUAGUUAAUAUUCUGGGUUGUAUUAAUGAAUGGUAAAACUAGUUAAUCUGCUCUAAAAAUGCCUGGUGCAUCAUCACUGAGAAGAUGUGAUCAAUAUGAUUAAUGCCCUGAAAUUAUUAUCCCUGCAUCUUUAAUGCCAUUACUUGAAGUGUAGAGCUGUGCUUGCUAAUCAACCCUCUGUAUCAGCCAGAUUUAUGUCCAUAUUGGUGUACAAUAAUUUCAGUUAACAUAAAACACUGAUUUGGAGCCACGGAAUGCAGCUCUGUUCAUUUCAUUGUCCAUCUCAAUGUCGCUGUUGCCAGGGACAGAUUAUAAUUAAAUCCUGGAGCUGCCAUUCCCGAUACUCACCUGAGAUCUUUCCCACCGAGCUCCUCUCUACAAGCUGCAGCCCUUCAGCCUUCAGUGCAGCAGGAGGCUGUGCAGGAUCAGAGGGGCUGAUUCCAGGCUGCUGCCUGCAGCAGGCAGGGCCUUGCUGUGAAGCAGUAAUAGCUCUAAUGUGAUACUCAUCACUCCCCUAUUCAAAUGUCUUUGGAUCCUAUUGCAAAUUCUUCAGCCAUUCCAGAUCCCUUUUCUUUCUUCUCUAAGAUUGCAUAGCAAUGUCACAUGCCCUGUGCUCUGAACCUAUUCCAGUUUAGUGUCUCUUCCCAUGCUUUUUGAACUGUCACUCAGUGAUGGAGCUUUGCACGGACAGCAAGCAUGGCUUUACUGAUGGUCCUUCACCAUAGAAGGAAUAAACUGAAAGAGUAUGAUUGAAAUUAUUUCCCAUUUCAAACAGGCUGGUAGUCUUCUACAGUGCCUACACUUUUCAUUUGUUCUUGCUUUAAUGUUAAUACAGGAAUAAAUUGCAAUGUAGACAUUAUGAAGGAGAGGUCCUUUAUGCACCUCCAGGGUUUUAAUCUUAAAAGCUUUGAGUUUUAAAACUGAGUAAGGUUCAGCAAUUCAGUAUUAAAAUGCCCAUUCAGAAUUAUUUGCUCUAUUUUCUAUGCUGCAUAUUUUCAAUCAGAUAAUACUGCUGCUAAACCUGGGUAUCACUUUAGUUGCUUCCAGGUGAGUAUAAACUUUUAUGAUCUGUUAAAAAAAUGUUGGCUCCUCAGCAAAUUACCUUAGAUGAGUAUCUUGAUCCCUUCAAGGGAUACAGAAACAGUUCUGGGUAAUGAUUGCUUAUUCUUACAAAAGGAGAAAGCAAACAGGUGUUGUGCACAGCUACCUUGUCACAGGUCUGAAGAUAGCUUUCAUAUGAUUUUCCUAAUGGCUAUAUAUAAAUUAAAGAUCAUCUGAAAUUGGAUGAAUGCUUUGGUUUUGUUGCAGGGCUUUUUGCUGCAGCUGUCUCUGCUGGUCUCAGUGGAGACAUCAUUGAGAAAAUGUGUCAUGAGCAGGAAGGAACUGAAGCAAUGACAAAGCCAUUCCUAUAUAAAAGAGAAGAAAGGAUAAUAAAAUUAAAUAUCUACUAAUCUCUUACAGGAUGCUCAGCAACACCACAGAGAAACUGUUGUCAGUUGUGCCCUGCUAUGAGACCAGAAGGGUUUGAGUCACGACUGUGUGAGGGGCACUUUGAAAUGAAAUCUCAGAGCUCUUCCCGAACUUCAAAACAAAUAAUCUCUCUGGUGACAUGUGAUGUCAUGCCUCCAAGGUACAGUGGUCCCAGGGGUGCUCAUUAAACGAUAGCCGGAUAGAUGGCAUUUCAUCCUGACAUGAUGUUUGAAUGCAGAAAAUGAGCUUUUAAAUUACUGCCAUGUCCCUCUGCAGCCUGUACUGCUGGUUCAGAACACAGGGGAUGUCCAGGUGCUUAAGCUGUUUUUUGUUCUGCUGAAGCUAUGGCUCUGUGGGCAAAGGACUUAUGUCUUGUAACUCCACUGAAUGCUUUCUCCCAGUGCCUGCUCUGAAUGUUACUAGGGCUGUGUCUCAUGUCUUCCUAUUUUUUCCUUUUUUAGCAUCUUUAAGAAUCUCCUCCCACACUUCCCAUGCAAACCUCAGUGAAAUGAGCUUUGCAACCCUGCAAAGCUUUGUGUUAGCAUCCUCUUUAACAAGCAAGGGAACUCAAAAAAGACCAGAGGACCCAGAGCCACUAUCAGAAUGGGUUUGAGGCUUCAAAGCAUAUAAGUCCUGGACAUUCAAAGCCCUGCCUGUGGUUUAACAGUAAGUCUUUCUCAGGCCAGGAAACAAUCUCUGGUCUUCUAAGGUUCCACUUUUCCCCUCUUACCUUCUUUGUUGUCUCUUUUUCUUGUGAUCCUAUUUGCUAGGAGUCCUUCCCUUAGCUUCCACUGACUGUGUAUCUCCCUCAGACACACAGCUGUAACAUCAUGCCUUUCAAACUGACUCUUGCUGCUUAUAACAACUUCUACCUCAAGAACAUUUUCUGAUUCAACCUGAAGUGAGCCUGGAAAGAUACCCUGUAAUGGCUGAAAGCCUUACACUGGUAUCCACAGACAGAAGAAUACAAAACCAUAGGUAACUAGAACAGCUUAUGAGCACUGCAUUGCUACUGCAUGCAUGUGACUAUGUAUGCAAGGUCUUUUAUAUUGUACUCCCACAUGCAAACUGAAGCCUAGGAGUGUUCACAGGCACUUCUGCCUUUGACGUUAUGUUAGCAAAUACAAGCAGCUGUGGGCACUUGUUGAAAUGUGACUCGCCCUUUUCUUGGUUUGCUUGCUCCCCCCCUCGAGUGGCAAGAGUCAUUGCUAGAGCUAAAACUAAUCUUAGUUCAGCCCACAGUAAUUAACACUACUUCAUCCUCUAGUCACAUUCAUUUCUCUUGAGGUAGUGAAAUAGCACAGCAACAAUCACAGUUUCAGAGAGGAAGUGAAAAAGGUGAUUGCCUGGUUUUGAAAUGAAAGGAGAAAUUUAGCCAGUGUGUAAUUACUCAAGUGAGAAUUUGGCCCUGUCUGUCUUUAAUACUCCAAAGUGGUGUUUGAUGUAAAUCCUUCCCUAGAAUUCAUUACAUUAGCUCUCAGCUCAACCUGAGCAUGCUGAGUGCCAAGUUCUGUGUGCAGCACAUUUUAUAUCCGAGUGGAAUGAUGUCAUCCUGGUGCUCCUGCAGCUCCCUAGCUCCUUGAGAAGCUUUGUGUUCAGCCUAAAGAUGAAAUGGAAUAUGUUUAAUGAGAUUUCCAUGGAAUUUGCUGCCUGGAAUGAGUGAGGAAUAUUGCAUUGCACCUCCAGCAAGACUUGUCCCUUUUUGCCCAAAAAAAAAAAAAAAAGGAGUUGUUAUAUUGCUUGUAAUAUUUUUCUUCACAGAAAAUGCAGUUUUUCCUUUACAGAUCCUGAAGUGCUUCACAGACCACAGAGCCCUUUCACGGGUGGUAAAGGAAGCUGCAGGAAAACACAGUGGCUUGUUGGUGUCACCCUGUGGGAAGUCCUGGCCUAGCCCUGGGGGCUGCCAGGCUGCUGCUGCUGAGGGCUCUGGGUUGAACCAUGCUGACUUUCAAACAGAGUGGGAAGAGAGAUGCAGAAAGCAGGUGCUUUCCUAACAGUUUGUCCCUGCCCCUUUACAGAGAUGCUGAUCAGAGCUCCUCAGAAGCCAGAAAUCCGUCCUCCCUCACCACUUUGUCCUGACCUCAGUAAGAAUUCCCAGGAGUGCCAUCAGCGUGUGCACACGGAGUCCCAGCGCCUGUCCCAGAGGUGGGCGGUGCCAGCUAUUUCAGACACUGUUUACGGGCCAGGCAGGUGUGAGCGGAAGGAAAGGCGAGGGACGAGUCAAGCGGGGGUUGCACAAGAUGGUGCCGUCUGGGAGAGGGGCUGCCAGAGCCAGCGCUGGAAAAAGCCCUCCCGCCGCCCGGCUGCGGUCAGGUAGGGGAGCGCUCGGUUACUUCUCGGGAAAACGCUGCCUCGCCUGAGCUGAGCUGGGCCCCGGGGGCCGCGCGGCUCCGUUUGCGGUUCCCGCGCCCUCCCGCCCCCGUCCUGCGCGACCGCAACCACGGCGGCUCCCGCCGAACCCCGGGCGCCUCCGGAGCCGCCACCGGCCCCGGGACGGGCGGCAGGAGGUUGCGGCCACCGCCCCGCCACGCGUGGGCAGCGGCUGGCGGGGCCGCGCCGGGACACGGCUCCCACCCGCGGCAGAACGCGAGCCGUGUCCCUGCGCCAGAGGCGGCGGUCCCAGCCCGUCCCGGGCCAUGACCAGGCCGGCGAGGGGAAGGCAGCGCCCGCCCGGCGCCCGCCUGUAAAGCGGUGUUUAUCCAAGCACGGCAGCAGCCCGCCCGGCAGGAAGCGGCCCCGGGCGCAGGAAAUGGCGGCGGCACGAGGCCCCGCCGCCGCCAUCUGCGUCUCCCCGGGCAGUCCCGGCCGCCGCUGCCGGGCGGGGAGGCCCCUCUGCCGCAGCCCGGGCCCGCUGCCUGGGGUUCCAUCAGGUCGUUGGAGACCCCGCUGCAGGCUGCUGCAGCGUUUCUGGUGCUGUGUUUCAGGUGCGUUGCCGCUGCAGAAAAGCACUUGUAUUCAGUUCCAGUGCGGGAUAAGCGGCCUUCGGGCAGAGUACGGCCCCUCACUCCGGUUUGCCGGGCAGCUUGCGGCCGCUGCGCUGCUUGUGUCAGAACGAAACAGCUUGAAACGCCCGUGGUUCCCUUUGUUCCCAGCUCCAGGACUGGGUGAGGAGGAGGGACGAUGGAUGUCCUGAUGGAUUAUGGUAAUCAGUUCGGGAACUGGAACUGUUUAGCUGUAGGUGGUUGGUGUGAACCUGGUUGGUAACCACUGUAGCCUUGUGAAGGCUUCGUGUGAUGCCCUCCAGUGGUAACAACGUGUACCGAUAUUGUAUCAAGAGGUAGAAGGAAAUUUGAAGAAGUGAUCCUUUUUGCCCAUUCUGGAGCGGUUUGAGGGUAACUCCUUGUAAGCUCAAGGGCCUUUGGGCAGCCCUGGCAAAGUCCCCAGUUAGCUGCUGGGUGAGGCGUGGUUGGGGGUAUCCCAUCCCUUGGCAGUUCCUGCUGCUGCAGCCUCUGCUGGGAUGCAGAGCUCACAGCUGUACAUCAGGGCAGCCUGUAGGGCUCGGGUGUCCAGUACCAGAGCUUUAGGCCUGAGCUCCUGUCCUUCGUAGAAGAUGAAUUUUGCUGUGUGCCAGUAAAUUUAUAUAGUGAAAAAGAACAGGAAGAAAAACGCCAAGAGGAAAAAUGCAUCUUGCAGCACAUAACUCACUGUUGGAGACAAGGAAAACUGUUUUUCAGUUGUCCUUUCACAUAAUCUCGUUCAGCAGUGAGCCAGAGUUCCUGUAGCCAGGCCAGAAAUGAGAACUGGCUUUGCCUAAUCUGAGACACCUUUCAGAGCGGAGAAGUAGCUCUCAGAUCAACUGCUCAACGUAGUUCUCCAAGAUGAGUUCUAUACCCAGGAUUCCAGAUAAGCCACUUGGUGGUGUCUGCUCUGGGGAACCAUGUGGGACCUGUUAGUACCUGUCAGCUUCAGUAGAAGCUCCUCUUUCACUGCCAGAUACAGCUUGCAGGUCUCUACAGGAUUUGACCCUUACAGUCUUAGAGAUGUACUGCACUUCUCCCUGUCUGAUGGGCUUACAGAGAAAGACAAGGUUGAUGUGAACUUCCAGUUUGUGUGCCAUACUGGACGGAUUGAUAAACCCUGUAGUAGAAGUGGUGGCCUCCUCAUGAAGGAUUUAUAUCAAGAUAUUUCUGCUGCUGCUUUAGCUGUCCUGUACCAUGACUGGUCAUGACCACAGAUGCUGCUCCAUACUCAGUUCUCCAACAGAUUCAUCAAGCUGGCAGUGUCAUGGUGGAGCUGUUUGGUACCUGCCGAGUCCCACUCCAAGAGUGUCAAGAGCAUCUCGCAUUUAGCUCGGAAAAUCUGUCCUUGCAGCAGUCCUGUGAGAGGGCUAUGAAGUCCCAGGGACUCCUAGGGAAGUUCUCCAGUUGAAAAAUAUUUUUGAUUGGGUUCGUGUAUCGUCUGAAGUGAACAGCUAAAACUGGCACCAGGAUACAGAUGUCUACUUGAAGAGUGUGGCUCUUCAUUUUUGGCAAAUAGCAGUGAAACGGUAUUCCCAGUGGGUGGAACUUGGACCAUGAAUCAAGGCAUACCAUUUUUAAGCAAAGAAAAAAAAAAACCAUAAAAGGUGUUAAAAAAACUUGGGUGGUGCUGUCUCACCACUUCAUUCCUCAGCAGAAGACCUGUACUUUAGCUGCUGUUCCAAUGUCAGCAGGGCCCACCUGGCCACCUCCUGCCCUCUGCACUGUCAGGGGUUGCUGGCUGAGUCACCUGUUCUGAGGUUGUUGUGCUCACUGCAAGACACAGCAACGGAAAGUCUCUGGCCUGGCUUACAGGACAUGUGACAAAGUGACUGUAGCAACUCUUUCUGCCCCUGAAAUCUCUGAAGUCCUCAUUGUAGAGAUGACACUGUUCUUGAAUAGCUCAGUGUUGCUAAAUCCAUCUUCUUUGGAGGGUUGCAAAACAAACAGAUACCGAAGAGAAUACGGUUCUAAUUACUGUCAUAAUGACACACUCGGCUUCUGGUUUCAUGGUUUCUGCAGAGUCUUGUUUUGGGUAGCCUUUUUUUAAGCUAUUUGUGGAAGUACAGAUGAGCUUUUGGCAGAUGGUUCUGUGUCAGAUCUCUGCCAGGCUCUGUUAAUUUGUUGAGAUCUUAUAGAGGCCACUGUGUUCUUGACUGUCCCCUAAAAUGGAAGUGUGAACCAAUGAUUUUUGUAAUGAACGUGCAAUAAAUCUGUGGAAAAGCA